GACGAACGCUGGCGGCGUGCCUAAUACAUGCAAGUAGAACGCUGAAGGAGGAGCUUGCUUCUCUGGAUGAGUUGCGAACGGGUGAGUAACGCGUAGGUAACCUGCCUGGUAGCGGGGGAUAACUAUUGGAAACGAUAGCUAAUACCGCAUAAGAGUAGAUGUUGCAUGACAUUUGCUUAAAAGGUGCAAUUGCAUCACUACCAGAUGGACCUGCGUUGUAUUAGCUAGUUGGUGGGGUAACGGCUUACCAAGGCGACGAUACAUAGCCGACCUGAGAGGGUGAUCGGCCACACUGGGACUGAGACACGGCCCAGACUCCUACGGGAGGCAGCAGUAGGGAAUCUUCGGCAAUGGACGGAAGUCUGACCGAGCAACGCCGCGUGAGUGAAGGAGGUUUUCGGAUCGUAAAGCUCUGUUGUAAGAGAAGAACGAGUGUGAGAGUGGAAAGUUCACACUGUGACGGUAUCUUACCAGAAAGGGACGGCUAACUACGUG
RNAcentral lists this ribosomal RNA (495 nucleotides) under uncultured bacterium. RNAcentral's name for it is "partial 16S ribosomal RNA". It matches the Rfam family "Bacterial small subunit ribosomal RNA", at positions 28 to 507 of the family's 1533-position model. The record is from RNAcentral.